UACAGAGGGUGCAAGCGUUGUUCGGAAUUACUGGGCGUAAAGCGCGUGUAGGUGGCAAUGUAAGUCGGGUGUGAAAUCCCUCAGCUUAACUGGGGAACUGCGUCUGAUACUGAGUGGCUUGAGUGCAGGAGAGGAAUGCGGAAUUCCAGGUGUAGCGGUGAAAUGCGUAGAUAUCGUAAGGAAGACCAGUGGCGAAGGCGAAUCUCUGGACAGUUACUGACACUGAGGCACGAAGGCCAGGGGAGCAAACGGG
Molecule: ribosomal RNA, 253 nt
Filed under: uncultured bacterium
Lineage: Bacteria
Description: partial 16S ribosomal RNA
Rfam family: Bacterial small subunit ribosomal RNA
Source: RNAcentral